Pelobates cultripes (western spadefoot toad) is the source of this 387-nucleotide non-coding RNA. NCBI's taxonomy places the organism in Eukaryota, Metazoa, Chordata, Amphibia, Anura, Pelobatidae. The record is from the annotation of a GenBank genome assembly.
AACAAUCUAAAGCUAAGAGGGGUCGCUGACUCUGUGCCCAAGGCCGAGCUCCCACAUUAUGCCAGGCGGUUGCUGACCGGUCUCCUAACCCCGAAAGCGGGCAAAUCCAUAAUAUUGGACAACAUCUUCCGUAUACCACGGCCAGCUACAGCACCACCAGCUGCCACAGGGGACAUAAUCCUCCGAUUUCAAAGCGCGAGGGACAAGAGUGCCGUUCUAGAAGCCACCAAGGGCCUAACAACCUAUACUUUUGAGGACAUGACUCUGUCGUUUUAUGCAGAUCUCUCAAGUGGAACGCUGAACUGGAGAAGAUCCCUCAAACAGCUUACAUCCUUCUUGAGGCAGAAACAACUCAGGUACUGCUGGGGCCCAGGCCGCGCCCUACAC